This 1464-nucleotide ribosomal RNA is filed under the name Lactiplantibacillus plantarum. RNAcentral describes it as "bacterial SSU rRNA". It matches the Rfam family "Bacterial small subunit ribosomal RNA". Lineage: Bacteria; Bacillati; Bacillota; Bacilli; Lactobacillales; Lactobacillaceae. The record is from RNAcentral.
UAACAUGCAAGUCGAACGAACUCUGGUAUUGAUUGGUGCUUGCAUCAUGAUUUACAUUUGAGUGAGUGGCGAACUGGUGAGUAACACGUGGGAAACCUGCCCAGAAGCGGGGGAUAACACCUGGAAACAGAUGCUAAUACCGCAUAACAACUUGGACCGCAUGGUCCGAGUUUGAAAGAUGGCUUCGGCUAUCACUUUUGGAUGGUCCCGCGGCGUAUUAGCUAGAUGGUGGGGUAACGGCUCACCAUGGCAAUGAUACGUAGCCGACCUGAGAGGGUAAUCGGCCACAUUGGGACUGAGACACGGCCCAAACUCCUACGGGAGGCAGCAGUAGGGAAUCUUCCACAAUGGACGAAAGUCUGAUGGAGCAACGCCGCGUGAGUGAAGAAGGGUUUCGGCUCGUAAAACUCUGUUGUUAAAGAAGAACAUAUCUGAGAGUAACUGUUCAGGUAUUGACGGUAUUUAACCAGAAAGCCACGGCUAACUACGUGCCAGCAGCCGCGGUAAUACGUAGGUGGCAAGCGUUGUCCGGAUUUAUUGGGCGUAAAGCGAGCGCAGGCGGUUUUUUAAGUCUGAUGUGAAAGCCUUCGGCUCAACCGAAGAAGUGCAUCGGAAACUGGGAAACUUGAGUGCAGAAGAGGACAGUGGAACUCCAUGUGUAGCGGUGAAAUGCGUAGAUAUAUGGAAGAACACCAGUGGCGAAGGCGGCUGUCUGGUCUGUAACUGACGCUGAGGCUCGAAAGUAUGGGUAGCAAACAGGAUUAGAUACCCUGGUAGUCCAUACCGUAAACGAUGAAUGCUAAGUGUUGGAGGGUUUCCGCCCUUCAGUGCUGCAGCUAACGCAUUAAGCAUUCCGCCUGGGGAGUACGGCCGCAAGGCUGAAACUCAAAGGAAUUGACGGGGGCCCGCACAAGCGGUGGAGCAUGUGGUUUAAUUCGAAGCUACGCGAAGAACCUUACCAGGUCUUGACAUACUAUGCAAAUCUAAGAGAUUAGACGUUCCCUUCGGGGACAUGGAUACAGGUGGUGCAUGGUUGUCGUCAGCUCGUGUCGUGAGAUGUUGGGUUAAGUCCCGCAACGAGCGCAACCCUUAUUAUCAGUUGCCAGCAUUAAGUUGGGCACUCUGGUGAGACUGCCGGUGACAAACCGGAGGAAGGUGGGGAUGACGUCAAAUCAUCAUGCCCCUUAUGACCUGGGCUACACACGUGCUACAAUGGAUGGUACAACGAGUUGCGAACUCGCGAGAGUAAGCUAAUCUCUUAAAGCCAUUCUCAGUUCGGAUUGUAGGCUGCAACUCGCCUACAUGAAGUCGGAAUCGCUAGUAAUCGCGGAUCAGCAUGCCGCGGUGAAUACGUUCCCGGGCCUUGUACACACCGCCCGUCACACCAUGAGAGUUUGUAACACCCAAAGUCGGUGGGGUAACCUUUUAGGAACCAGCCGCCUAAGGUGGGACAGAUGAUUAGGG